AUUGAACGCUGGCGGCGUGCUUAACACAUGCAAGUCGAUCGGUAACAGGUGUAGCAAUACAUGCUGACGAGAGGCGGACGGGUGAGUAAUGCUUGGGAAUCUGCCUAUUAGUGGGGGACAACCCGGGGAAACUCGGGCUAAUACCGCAUACGCUCUACGGAGGAAAGCCGGGGACCGCAAGGCCUGGCGCUAAUAGAUGAGCCCAAGUCGGAUUAGCUAGUUGGUAGGGAACGGCCUACCAAGCGACAAUCCGUAGCUGGUCUGAGAGGACGACCAGCCACACCGGAACUGAGACACGGUCCGGACUCCUACGGGAGGCAGCAUGGGGAAUAUUGGACAAUGGGGCAACCCUGAUCCAGCGACGCCGCGUGGGUGAAGAAGGCCUG
This 386-nucleotide ribosomal RNA is filed under the name uncultured bacterium. Its description in RNAcentral is "bacterial SSU rRNA". It matches the Rfam family "Bacterial small subunit ribosomal RNA", at positions 29 to 418 of the family's 1533-position model. The record is from RNAcentral.